AUUGAAGGCCAGUCAAUUUCGUGCCACUAACGGCCAAUCAGGACGCUGCAUACUGGCGAGCCAAACAGCCAAUGACAGAGGACUACUUCUUUUGAGGGAAGAAGAACGAAGAAGCAGCUCGCUUUUCUCGCUGCUAGCACUGAGAAACAAUGGCCGAAGACCAAGUGAUUGUGGGAAAUGAUGUUCUGAACCGGCUUCGGUUCAGGUUGGAACAGGCCUUGCUUCGCCAGCCCAUUGACAUCGAUUACAUCGAGUUUAUCUGCAGGAGUGAUAUGGCGCUGAUUGCAUCCUUAUCUAAUCACUUGCAAUUCCCAGAAGAGGUACUUGGAGGUCUACAUGGGCUUCUCACACUGCUACAAGAAGAAAUUGACAACAGAGGGACAACUGUUGUGGUGGAGAGAGACACAAGCCAAAGGGGACAUCCGAUUGUCGUUGCUCGAGGGCACAUAGAGGAUCUCCUGGAAAUGGACCUCUCCAUUACAUGUAUCUCCAAAUUGACAGGCAUUUCAGUGAGGACAUUGUUCCGCAGGAUGCAGGAAUGGGGACUGUCUGUAAGGGACAGAUACAGCAACAUGUCUGAUGAUGACCUUGACCGUUUAAUCAUCGAGAUCAAACAGACCUCUCCAAAUUUGGGUUAGUUGGUCAACAAAAGUACAUCACAUCUUUAUUAUUACCGUGAAAGCCACACAGACCUCACUUUGAGUGAAUUCGAGUUGU
Molecule: long non-coding RNA, 717 nt
Filed under: Gouania willdenowi (blunt-snouted clingfish)
Lineage: Eukaryota; Metazoa; Chordata; Actinopteri; Blenniiformes; Gobiesocidae
Description: lncRNA (ENSGWIG00000023943.1)
Source: RNAcentral